RNAcentral lists this non-coding RNA (28 nucleotides) under Bombyx mori (domestic silkworm). Lineage: Eukaryota; Metazoa; Arthropoda; Insecta; Lepidoptera; Bombycidae. The record is from RNAcentral.
UGUCUUGAAGCAGGUACUGGUUUAAGGU